GGUCAUGAGUGCCAGCAUCGAGCCCCGGCUUGCUGGCCGGCAACCCUCCAACCGCGGUGGGGUGCCCCGGGUGAACGACCAGGCCGAUCCGGUAUGCGAGUGCCGUAUCGACAAGCGCGGGUC
RNAcentral lists this non-coding RNA (123 nucleotides) under Rhodococcus sp. (in: high G+C Gram-positive bacteria). RNAcentral describes it as "Rhodococcus sp. SAM-IV sequence". It matches the Rfam family "SAM (S-adenosyl methionine) riboswitch aptamer". Rfam says of the family: SAM-IV is a mRNA element that regulates gene expression via direct sensing of S-adenosylmethionine (SAM or AdoMet). SAM-IV riboswitches share conserved nucleotide positions with the previously described SAM-I riboswitches sequence analysis and molecular recognition experiments suggest that SAM-I and SAM-IV riboswitches share similar ligand binding sites, but have different scaffolds. The record is from RNAcentral. Lineage: Bacteria; Bacillati; Actinomycetota; Actinomycetes; Mycobacteriales; Nocardiaceae.